Molecule: ribosomal RNA, 507 nt
Filed under: uncultured bacterium
Lineage: Bacteria
Description: bacterial SSU rRNA
Rfam family: Bacterial small subunit ribosomal RNA
Source: RNAcentral
UAGUCCACGCCGUAAACGAUGGAUACUAGGUGUCCGGGAUAUUAACCUCCUGGGUACUACAGUUAACGCGUUAAGUAUCCCGCCUGGGGAGUACGGUCGCAAGGCUAAAACUCAAAGGAAUUGACGGGGGCCCGCACAAGCGGUGGAGUAUGUGGUUUAAUUCGAAGCAACGCGCAGAACCUUACCUACCCUUAACAUUUCACGACGUAUACAGAGAUGUAUAUUUCUCUUCGGAGACGUGAGGAUAGGUGCUGCAUGGCUGUCGUCAGCUCGUGUCGUAAGAUGUCUGGUUAAGUCCAAUAACGAGCGCAACCCUUAUCUUUAGUUGCCAGCACAUAAUGGUGGGGACUCUAAAGAGACUGCCUGCGCAAGCAGAGAGGAAGGAGGGGACGACGUCAAGUCAUCAUGGCCCUUACGCCCAGGGCUACACACGUGCUACAAUGGCGCAUACAGAGGGUCGCGACAUGGCAACAUGAAGCCAAUCUCAAAAAGUGCGUCUCAGUUCGG